UACGUAGGGGGCAAGCGUUGUUCGGAAUUACUGGGCGUAAAGGGCGCGUAGGCGGCAGGCCAAGUCGGGAGUGAAAGCCCGGGGCUCAACCCCGGAAUGUCUUUCGAAACUGGCCAGCUUGAGUGCGGAAGAGGCAACUGGAAUUCCCAGUGUAGCGGUGAAAUGCGUAGAUAUUGGGAAGAACACCUGAGGCGAAGGCGGGUUGCUGGGCCGACACUGACGCUGAGGCGCGAAAGCCAGGGGAGCAAACAGG
This 253-nucleotide ribosomal RNA is filed under the name uncultured bacterium. RNAcentral's name for it is "partial 16S ribosomal RNA". It matches the Rfam family "Bacterial small subunit ribosomal RNA", at positions 524 to 776 of the family's 1533-position model. The record is from RNAcentral.